RNA transcript from Mandrillus leucophaeus (drill), 1115 nucleotides. RefSeq lists it as uncharacterized. Lineage: Eukaryota; Metazoa; Chordata; Mammalia; Primates; Cercopithecidae. The transcript is spliced from 2 exons. The record is from RefSeq and is a predicted model, not a curated record.
CCCAGCAUUACAGUUAAAAUUCUGUACCUGGGACUUACCAUAACUCCAGAACCCACUACAGAGGUUGAACAUUCUACACCCCUGAAGAAGACUAUAGUUCCUCCAAAGCACCCUGAGGUGACACUUCCACAUCCACACCAGGUUCAGACUUGGCAUUCAAACCUGACUCAAGUCACAUUUCAACCUUUGGAUCCGAAACUUACCUUAACUCCAGAAUCCUCUAUGGAGGUUGAACCUUCAACCAUGCAUAAAACCCCAAAUCAGCCUCCAGAGCUAGUUAAGGAGGUUGUAGUUUUCCCUCCUGGGUAUUAUAAUGAGAUGUCUGUUCCAACACAAGGCCAGGAUCAAGCUAAGCAUCCAACAUCAGCCAGUGUCACAGUUCAACCUUUGGAACUGAGGCUUACCAUUACUCCAGAAUUCACUACAAAGGUUGAACCUUCUAGAGCCAUGGUGACUACAGCUUCUCUGCCAAAGCUCCCUAAGGUGACACUUCCACCAUGAGACAAGGGUCAAUACUCAGCACUCAAACCAGACCCAAGUCACAGUUCAACUUUUGGACUUGGAAGUUACCAUAAGUAUAGAACCUACUACAGGGGUGAACAUUUUCCAAUCACAGAGGAGACCACAACUCAGCCUUCAGACCUGGGGCUUGCCAUAACUCUAGCCCUAUAUAGACAUUGAGCAUUCUACAGCCCUGGACAAGACUACAGCUCCACGUCCAGACCAGGUUCAGACUCAGCAUCAAAACCUGACUAAAGUCAGAGGUCCACCUUUGAACUAGAACCUACUCAGGAUUCAUUGAUUCAGUCUGAAAGUUACACCCAAAAUAAGGCUUUAACUGCACAAGAGGAACAGAAGGCCUCCACAAGCACCAACAUAUGUGAGUUCUGUACCUGCAGAGAUGAGACACUGUCGUGUAUUGAUCUCAGCCCAAAGCAGAGGCUCCACCAAGUGCCUAGCCAGAACCCAGCACCUACAAUGGCACCUUCACCAUCUUACAUUUGCAAGGAAACUAUAUUUCUUACAUUGAUGCAAAUGUGUGGAAACAUACAGUUGGACUGAGAAACUGCGAGUAUAUUCUCUCGAAAUAUGACAAAAAACUAUCUGCAUUGUAA